UGUUUGAACGCAGCCUUCCUUCUUACUUAUUUUUCUUCCUUCUUCCUCUUUUCUCUUUUCUUCUUUUAUCUUCUUGAAUAUUCCUCUAUCUCGGUUCCACCCGAGAGACACAAGAACGAGAGAGAUGAGAGACAAAGACGGAGAGAUAGUUGAGAGUGAGAGAUGAAAUCGAGAGAGAGAUCGAGAGACUGAUAGAGAGAUGAGACUUGAGUGAGAGAUCGGGAGAUGAAGGGACAGAUCCGAGAGAUUCUGAUCGGAGGGAGAGGAAGAUCGGACCCGAUCUUCCAUGGUCGCCGGUAGGUCGACUCCGGUGAUGCCUAGGACCCGAUUUUCUGGUGGAUCGUCUUGCAACUCAUGAGACUCGUUGACCCGAGACCCGAGGGCUUGAAGGCUGAUUUUCCGGUGGUCCAGUGAACGAUUUCCAGCGACUUCUGGAACUGAUUUUCGGCGAUUCCAUAGUGAUUUUUCGGUGACUGUUUCGGUGGUUUCCCUUUGCCUAAAUAGAAACUCUCAAGGAUGAUGAACUGAGACUGCACAAAAGGGCUGUUUCGAAGAUUAUGGAUUGGAUUAACUGCUAGUUUAAGAGAUCUAGAGCUAAUGUACUUAGGUUCCAUUUCUUUGUAAUUAUUAAUGUUUGUACUAUUUUGCAUGUAACAUGUUUAUUGAUUUACUUGUAUGUAGUAAGUUUCCAUGCAUGCUUUCGUGUCACAUUUGACACGUGUUUCUUUGUAAUUAUUGUGAAGGACUUUUAAUGAAUGUCUUGAGGAAUUUCUCUUAGCUCAAUGUAUUGUGUUAUAAAUCCCAAGUCUUUAUGUAAAAAUUGUAUUCUGUUGGUAUUUUUAUAACUCUGAUGACGUCUAACGUCACGUGCAAAAAUCAAAAUUUUCACUUACGUCUUUUUGUAAAAGGCGGGUCGUUACAAGAUGUAUUGGCAUGCCUAUUGAUGAGUGUCAAAUAUUGUGUAUUUAAACUCCUUAAUUUACAUUAAUUAAUCAUUUAGCUUUGUUAUUUUUUAAUGUUUUUUGUUAGUUUUGUGUCUUAGUGUUUUUAUAGGUGACCGAGAGAAAAUGAUGGUUUUUAUGUGGAAUUGCAAAGAAGCGGAAUUAUUUUUCAGAGUCGGGUUAAUUUUUACCCAAAACUUCAAAGCUUCGGAGCAAAUUUGGAAAUAAUGAUUUUUUAUUUUUAUUUUUUUUUAAUUAAAAGACACGUGUGUGUUGCGCAAUGGAAUUUUUAGUUUGGCUAAUUAAGAGCCGAGAAGCUAGCACCGACUUGCAUCAAUCGAAGAAGACACGUCCUUCCUUAGAGAGCAGUCGAAUCCAUGCAAUACCUGGCAACAAGAUUCUUUCCUUAAUGAAUUCAAUUCAAAAACUGGACAGCGGCAACCAACAAAGAGACAGCAACAAAUCCUGGUACAACGUGGAGAUGCAGCAGCCAAGACACACGUACAAGGAAAGAAGGCCAUAAAAAGGCUUCUAAAGGCUGGCUUCAACGUCUAGGCUUGCCAGCAAAGAGAGUUUUCCAUACUUGGGCUACAGGAAGGGGCGCAACACGUGAUUUCUCUCCAUAUAUGGACCGAAUAAGAGUUGUUUACACCUGUAACCACGCAUGGACAUAAUUUCUUUCCACCUGCAGUAGCUCUUCAAUUGAUUUUCUUUCCUUAAGAAGAAUCAGCCUUAGACACACAUGGAAAGCUAGGCAGCACCGAAUCAACAUAAUCAUGGGUCUCCUUAGGAGAGCAGCAACGUGGAUUCCAUGAAGUGCUCCUCUCUCCAUAAUUGAAGAUAUGUGAUGGACAGCAAAGAGUUGCACCAAAUAAGACCUAGGACUUGGGCUAUAUAUAUUCUCUCUUUUCUCUUGUAAAAGGUGUGGAGGGUGAGAGGCGCAAGCCUGCAGCCACACCAAGACAUGUAGAGUUUGCAAGUUUCUUUUAUGUUUUUAAUAAAAUUUAGUUUUUUAUUUUUAUCCAUGAGUAACUAGUUUUUUUGCAACUAAGGUUGAGGAUGAAACCUCACCUUUGAAGAGCAACAAUAUUUUCAUGAGAGUUUAUGCUAUUCGAUUUUAUUGGGUUUAA
This is a long non-coding RNA of Alnus glutinosa, 2071 nucleotides long. RefSeq lists it as uncharacterized. The record is from RefSeq and is a predicted model, not a curated record. NCBI's taxonomy places the organism in Eukaryota, Viridiplantae, Streptophyta, Magnoliopsida, Fagales, Betulaceae. The transcript is spliced from 4 exons.